UUACCUGCAAGCUGUGAGAGUGCUGUCCAACUUUUUGCGGUCCGUCAUGAAGCUGCGAGGAGAAGAAGUGUGUCGACGUAUUUUUGCUACUUUCUGUUAAAUAGAUGUGAUUACUGUCAUUGUGAGUUCAUGCACAUUGUUUUAGGUCGAGUGUUUUCUUUAUUACAACUUCUUUUAACGCCUUUUUUGGAUCUUAAUAAAUCUUUUGUUAAGUGCGUCACAAGAUCUCAGUGACUUUCAGUUUGUGUUUUCCUGAAUUCUCGACAAUAUCUGUAACAGAUCAUCGACACAGGACUCUGACACAGAAUGAGUUUGUGGUUUUUACUGCAGAGGGUUUUCAUGAAGCUACAGUUAACUCUUUCUGUAGUCAGACAGCUGACAGAGUACUUUAUUUAUGUCAGAGAGAACCAACAUCACAGUGGAGAGUUUAAUUCCUCAUUCUGCAGGAGUCAAAGAUGCUGCUCAUUGGACUGUUCUUGAGGCGUAUCACCAUUCUGCUAAUACAGAGUUUAACAGUUUGCGUUGCAGAGCAGUCAGAGUUGAUUUGUUCACAUCAACCAAUCGUAGCCCUGGCUGGUGAUGAUGUCAUUCUACCAUGUUACCUUGAUCCUCCAAUCAGUGCCAGUUCUGAGACAGUGGAGUGGACCAGACCUGGUUUAGACCCAAAGUACAUCCAUUUUCACCAAGAUGGACAACCGGUGUAUCACAGUCAAAACCCAUCUUAUUAUCUCAGAACGAGACUGUUUGAGGCUGAACUGCAGAAUGGAAACGUCUCCAUGAAAAUCUUCAGAGUGAAAAUCUCUGAUGCAGGAAAAUACUUUUGCUUCCUUGAAUCAAUGUUGAAGGAAGCUUCCAUCCAACUCACUGUUGGUAAGUCAGACUUUCUGAAGAUGAUGAAUUACACAUUUCUGCUGACUGCAAAGAUCAGUAAUGUAACUUUAUAUUAGAAGUAAGCAGCCAUGAUAAGA
Long non-coding RNA from Dicentrarchus labrax (European seabass), 968 nucleotides. RefSeq lists it as uncharacterized. The record is from RefSeq and is a predicted model, not a curated record. The transcript is spliced from 3 exons. NCBI's taxonomy places the organism in Eukaryota, Metazoa, Chordata, Actinopteri, Moronidae.